RNAcentral lists this ribosomal RNA (384 nucleotides) under uncultured bacterium. Its description in RNAcentral is "bacterial SSU rRNA". It matches the Rfam family "Bacterial small subunit ribosomal RNA", at positions 30 to 416 of the family's 1533-position model. The record is from RNAcentral.
AUUGAACGCUGGCGGCAUGCCUUACACAUGCAAGUCGAACGGCAGCGGACCUUCGGGUGCCGGCGAGUGGCGAACGGGUGAGUAAUAUAUCGGAACGUACCUUUCAGUGGGGGAUAACGUAGCGAAAGUUACGCUAAUACCGCAUAUUCUGUGAGCAGGAAAGCAGGGGAUCGCAAGACCUUGCGCUGAUUGAGCGGCCGAUAUCAGAUUAGCUAGUUGGUGAGGUAAAGGCUCACCAAGGCGACGAUCUGUAGCGGGUCUGAGAGGAUGAUCCGCCACACUGGAACUGAGACACGGUCCAGACUCCUACGGGAGGCAGCAGUGGGGAAUUUUGGACAAUGGGCGCAAGCCUGAUCCAGCCAUGCCGCGUGAGUGAAGAAGGCC